Molecule: ribosomal RNA, 253 nt
Filed under: uncultured bacterium
Lineage: Bacteria
Description: partial 16S ribosomal RNA
Rfam family: Bacterial small subunit ribosomal RNA
Source: RNAcentral
UACAGAGGCCACAAGCGUUAGGCGGAAUCACUGGGCGUAAAGGGUGCGUAGGCGGGUCUUUAAGUCAGGGGUGAAAUCCUGGAGCUCAACUCCAGAACUGCCUUUGAUACUGAGGAUCUUGAGUUCGGGAGAGGUGAGUGGAACUGCGAGUGUAGAGGUGAAAUUCGUAGAUAUUCGCAAGAACACCAGUGGCGAAGGCGGCUCACUGGCCCGAUACUGACGCUGAGGCACGAAAGCGUGGGGAGCAAACAGG